AUAUAGUUGUUUUGGGGUAUUCAAAGCAUUUGGCAAGUAUGUACUUUGGCCUGGGUUUCAUCCUGAGCACAGUAUUUUUGAUUUUGAGAUGAGAUUCUUCUUAUGUAGCCCUAGCUGGCCUGCAACUACCUAAGUAUAUCAGGCUACAUCUAUUUAUCUGUCUUCUACCACCACACCCAGCCACCAUGGCAGAAAUUUGUUUUUUAAAUCACUUUGUUUGUUUGUUUGAGACAGGGUCUUUCUGUGUAGCUCUGGCUUAUUCUGCAACUCACUAUGUAGAUCGGGUUGGCCUAGAACUCACAGAGAUAUUCCUGCCUCUGCCUCCUGAGUGCUGAUAUUAAAGGUAUGUAUGCACUGCUAUGUAACUUGUAGGAGUCAGUUCUUUCUUUUCAUCAUAUGAGCCCCAGUAAUUGAACUAAAGGCAAGUACCACUGAGUUAUCUUGGUGGUCUAAACAGAGUUUUCUUACAAUUGUUUGUUUGUUUUUAUUGGCCCUUUGAAUUUUUUUCAUGCAGUGUAUUUUGAUCUUGUUCACUCCCUCUUUUAAUCCCAUCAGGCAGAUCUUUCAGUUCUAUGCCAGCCUAGUCUACAGAGUGAGUUCCUAGACCACCAGGUCUACAUAAAAAACAAAAUAAAUUACUUAUUUGUGGGAAUAUGCAUGUGUUUGCAAAUACACACUUGCACACUACAUAUACAUAUUUUGAUUACUUCUAAUCAAAUCACAGUAUUACAGUCAUAGAAUCACAAAUUGUGCGGUCGCCGGGCGGUGGUGGCACACGCCUUUAAUCCCAGCACUUGGGAGGCAGAGGCAGGCGGAUUUCUGAGUUCGAAGCCAGCCUGGUCUACAGAGUGAGUUUUAGGACAGCCAGGGCUAUACAGAGAAACCCUGUCUUGAAAAAAAAAAAAAACCAACAACAACAACAGAAAACAAAUUGUGCUGUCACAAACAUGUUUCACAGUCUGAAGAGAUAGCUUAGUAGAUUAAGAGCACAUACUACUCUUGCACAGGACCUAAAUUUGAUUUCCAGCAACAUGUCACGUGGAUCACAAACUCAUGUAAUUCUAGGUCCAUGGAUACACACACACACACACAGACAGAUAUAUUUACAUAUAAAUUUUAAAAAAUCAAGUCAGGCUUUUUAAAAGUACAUUUAAAUAUAGGUCUUUAUGCACGUAAGUAAUUCUAAAUUCCUAGAAUGGUAUUAUGUUUUUCAUUUAGUACGUUUAUUGUGUUUACCAUGUCACACAAUUAUAGCAUUUAUAUGCCCUUUUUUGGUUUUAUUCUUUUUACUAUAUUGCCCUGACUGCUUCCAUGGUGCUAGGAUUAAAAUAAUAAAUUAAUGGGCAUCAACUUUUUUUAUAUUAAUAUUUGCCCAAAAUUGUUUUCUUGUAGGAUUUCAGAAGUGUAACACCUUGAGCUAUAUUUUGUGUUCAUAAUUAAUUACUAGUGAAUCUUAUUUUACUAAAAAGUACUUAGAGCCAAGCAGGAUGCUACAUGCUUAUAGCCCCAGCAAUUGAGACACUUAACUAGCAGGAGCUCAACUUUGAGUCCACCCUAUUCUAUAGAGCAAUAUGUCUCAAAAAGUAUAUGCAACAAGGAGCUAGAAAGGUAGCUCAGCAAUUAAGAGCACUAGUUGUUCAUACAGAGCACUAGGAUUGGAUUCCUAGCAUCUACAUGGUGGCUCACAGUUGUGGCUGUUACUCCAGCUUCAAGGAAUCCAGUACCUUUUUCUAGCCUUCAAAGGCACCAGGCAUGAAUUUAAUACACAAACAUAUAUGUGCAGUCAGAACACCCAUACAC
RNAcentral lists this long non-coding RNA (1800 nucleotides) under Mus musculus (house mouse). Its description in RNAcentral is "long non-coding RNA chr2:91592609-91594409". The record is from RNAcentral. Lineage: Eukaryota; Metazoa; Chordata; Mammalia; Rodentia; Muridae.